Molecule: transfer-messenger RNA, 362 nt
Filed under: Gammaproteobacteria bacterium
Lineage: Bacteria; Pseudomonadati; Pseudomonadota; Gammaproteobacteria
Also listed under: 2 other names
Rfam family: transfer-messenger RNA
About the family: Bacterial tmRNA, also known as 10Sa RNA or SsrA, is named for its dual tRNA and mRNA-like properties. Its role is to liberate the mRNA from a stalled ribosome.
Source: RNAcentral
GGGGGUGUUUCGGAUUCGACGCCGGGAUUGAAACCUGAGGUGCAUGUCGAGAGGGUAGUAACUCUCGUAAAAAAAUUACUGCAACUUCUAUAGUUGCCAACGACGAAAGCUACGCCCUAGCAGCCUAAACCGCUUGCUAGCGAUUGCCACUGGGAUGUCCGUAAACCGGUGUUUGCAAUCGUCAUCUAGAACGGAAUCGCCAGUGGACCGCGCUUGACGCGAAGCGGCUAAAAAGUAUCAAGCUCGCCCAACUCACCCUGCCCGUCGGGCGGACGAGGGUUAAUUUAAUAGACGACGCUACACAUGUAGAUCCGAAGGCAGACGACUGGCGGACGGGGGUUCAAAUCCCCCCGCCUCCACCA